Molecule: ribosomal RNA, 383 nt
Filed under: uncultured bacterium
Lineage: Bacteria
Description: bacterial SSU rRNA
Rfam family: Bacterial small subunit ribosomal RNA
Source: RNAcentral
GCAGUGGGGAAUAUUGGACAAUGGGCGAAAGCCUGAUCCAGCCAUGCCGCGUGAGUGAUGAAGGCCCUAGGGUUGUAAAGCUCUUUCAUCGGUGAAGAUAAUGACGGUACCCGUAGAAGAAGCCCCGGCUAACUUCGUGCCAGCAGCCGCGGUAAUACGAAGGGGGCUAGCGUUGUUCGGAAUUACUGGGCGUAAAGCGCGCGUAGGCGGAUUUUUAAGUCAGGGGUGAAAUCCCGGGGCUCAACCCCGGAACUGCCUUUGAUACUGGGUGUCUAGAGUCCGGCAGAGGUGAGUGGAAUUCCGAGUGUAGCGGUGAAAUUCGUAGAUAUUCGGAGGAACACCAGUGGCGAAGGCGGCUCACUGGUCCGAUACUGACGCUGAGC